RNAcentral lists this ribosomal RNA (465 nucleotides) under uncultured Klebsiella sp. RNAcentral's name for it is "bacterial SSU rRNA". It matches the Rfam family "Bacterial small subunit ribosomal RNA", at positions 338 to 795 of the family's 1533-position model. The record is from RNAcentral. Lineage: Bacteria; Pseudomonadati; Pseudomonadota; Gammaproteobacteria; Enterobacterales; Enterobacteriaceae.
CCUACGGGAGGCUGCAGUGGGGAAUAUUGCACAAUGGGCGCAAGCCUGAUGCAGCCAUGCCGCGUGUGUGAAGAAGGCCUUCGGGUUGUAAAGCACUUUCAGCGGGGAGGAAGGCGGUGAGGUUAAUAACCUCAUCGAUUGACGUUACCCGCAGAAGAAGCACCGGCUAACUCCGUGCCAGCAGCCGCGGUAAUACGGAGGGUGCAAGCGUUAAUCGGAAUUACUGGGCGUAAAGCGCACGCAGGCGGUCUGUCAAGUCGGAUGUGAAAUCCCCGGGCUCAACCUGGGAACUGCAUUCGAAAGUGGCAGGCUAGAGUCUUGUAGAGGGGGGUAGAAUUCCAGGUGUAGCGGUGAAAUGCGUAGAGAUCUGGAGGAAUACCGGUGGCGAAGGCGGCCCCCUGGACAAAGACUGACGCUCAGGUGCGAAAGCGUGGGGAGCAAACAGGAUUAGAUACCCUAGUAGUC